This 253-nucleotide ribosomal RNA is filed under the name uncultured bacterium. RNAcentral's name for it is "partial 16S ribosomal RNA". It matches the Rfam family "Bacterial small subunit ribosomal RNA", at positions 524 to 776 of the family's 1533-position model. The record is from RNAcentral.
GACGUAGGGGACGAGCGUUGUCCGGAUUCAUUGGGCGUAAAGCGCGCGCAGGCGGUUACGCAAGUCGGUUGUGAAAAUCCGGGGCUCAACCCCGGACCUGCAUCCGAUACUGCGUGACUAGAGGUAGGUAGGGGAGAUCGGAAUUCCUGGUGUAGCGGUGAAAUGCGCAGAUAUCAGGAAGAACACCCGUGGCGAAAGCGGCUCUCUGGAACGGUACUGACGCUGAGACGCGAAAGCGUGGGGAGCGAACAGG